AUUGAACGCUGGCGGCAUGCUUUACACAUGCAAGUCGAACGGUAACAGGUUAAGCUGACGAGUGGCGAACGGGUGAGUAAUGCAUCGGAACGUGCCCGAUCGUGGGGGAUAACGCAGCGAAAGCUGCGCUAAUACCGCAUACGAUCUGAGGAUGAAAGCGGGGGACCGUAAGGCCUCGCGCGAUCGGAGCGGCCGAUGUCAGAUUAGGUAGUUGGUGGGGUAAAGGCUCACCAAGCCGACGAUCUGUAGCUGGUCUGAGAGGACGACCAGCCACACUGGGACUGAGACACGGCCCAGACUCCUACGGGAGGCAGCAGUGGGGAAUUUUGGACAAUGGGCGCAAGCCUGAUCCAGCAAUGCCGCGUGCAGGAAGAAGGCCUUCGGGUUGUAAACUGCUUUUGUACGGAGCGAAAAGGCUCUCUCUAAUACAGGGGGCUCAUGACGGUACCGGAAGAAUAAGCACCGGCUAACUACGUG
Molecule: ribosomal RNA, 477 nt
Filed under: uncultured bacterium
Lineage: Bacteria
Description: partial 16S ribosomal RNA
Rfam family: Bacterial small subunit ribosomal RNA
Source: RNAcentral